GAUAACAGGCUGAUACCGCCCAAGAGUUCAUAUCGACGGCGGUGUUUGGCACCUCGAUGUCGGCUCAUCACAUCCUGGGGCUGAAGUAGGUCCCAAGGGUAUGGCUGUUCGCCAUUUAAAGUGGUACGCGAGCUGGGUUUAGAACGUCGUGAGACAGUUCGGUCCCUAUCUGCCGUGGGCGCUGGAGAACUGAGGGGGGCUGCUCCUAGUACGAGAGGACCGGAGUGGACGCAUCACUGGUGUUCGGGUUGUCAUGCCAAUGGCACUGCCCGGUAGCUAAAUGCGGAAGAGAUAAGUGCUGAAAGCAUCUAAGCACGAAACUUGCCCCGAGAUGAGUUCUCCCUGACUCCUUGAGAGUCCUGAAGGAACGUUGAAGACGACGACGUUGAUAGGCCGGGUGUGUAAGCGCAGCGAUGCGUUGAGCUAACCGGUACUAAUGAACCGUGAGGCUUAACCUUACAACGCCGAAG
This 470-nucleotide ribosomal RNA is filed under the name Escherichia coli. Its description in RNAcentral is "partial 23S ribosomal RNA". It matches the Rfam family "Bacterial large subunit ribosomal RNA", at positions 2473 to 2925 of the family's 2925-position model. The record is from RNAcentral. Lineage: Bacteria; Pseudomonadati; Pseudomonadota; Gammaproteobacteria; Enterobacterales; Enterobacteriaceae.